This 535-nucleotide ribosomal RNA is filed under the name Simplicillium lanosoniveum. Its description in RNAcentral is "SSU rRNA". It matches the Rfam family "Bacterial small subunit ribosomal RNA", at positions 352 to 884 of the family's 1533-position model. The record is from RNAcentral. Lineage: Eukaryota; Fungi; Ascomycota; Sordariomycetes; Hypocreales; Cordycipitaceae.
AAGUGUUAAGUCUUUAAUUUUGAAUCCUCAGCUUACUUUGUAAGUUAAGGCUAGAUUUAAACAAAAAUUAAAGAUUGUAUUAAAAUUGAAUAAAGCUUUGUUUAUAUACCGAUAAUGACGGUAUAUAUAUUGUGUCUUGACCAAUUACGUGCCAGCAGUCGCGGUAAUACGUAAGAGACUAGUGUUAUUCAUCUUAAUUAGGUUUAAAGGGUACUUAGACGGUUAAUAUAUCAUAUAUGAUAGUACUUAACUAGAGUUUUAUGUAAGAAGGCAGUACUUGAGGUGGAGAGAUGAAAUUCAAUGAUACCAAAGGGACUCGGUAAAGGCGCAGGCAGCCUUUUAUGUAAUAACUGACGUUGAAGGACGAAGGCACAGAUCACAAAAAGGAAUAGUAUCCCCAGUAGUCUUUGCAGUCAAUGAUGAAUGCCAUCGGUUAGAUUUAAGAUUUCGAGUAUUUAUUCCUCCGUAAAGAAUAAGUGUCGAAACGAUAUUUAGUCUAUAAAUGAAAGUGCAAGCAUUUCACCUCAAGAGUAAU